CACAAUGUGAAAAAAGUCAUGGGGUCUGAAUACUUUCUGAAUCCACUAUUUCCCAUGCAAAUAAAGCUCCUUUGAUUUGAAUUGAGACGAGAAAUGAACAUCAACAUGACCUUUCAUGAUGUGAAGGGGAAGACAGGCUUAUCGUUGGUCAGAGGUCAAGCUGAGCUGGACCAAAAGUGGAAGAGUGCAAAUGAUUACUGGUUAUGAUCACUGGUGAGAAGUCAGUUUUGAAAAUAUAUUCUGUGUACGUACAUCUCCCUUCCCCUUUAUCUCUCCUCCACAAAUCUCUCUCUCCCCUCCCCUCUUUCUCCACUACUCUCUUUCUCCACUACUCUCCUCUGCCCUACCCACCCCUCCUCUCUCCUCCAUCUUUCUCUGCACAUCUCUCUCUCUCUCUCUCUCUCUCUCUCUAUCUCUUCCUGACAUGUAGCAUCAGGCCUGUUGAUCUUGACUCAGGUCAUAGACCUCUAGCUUCUACAACACCCCUCCC
This 490-nucleotide long non-coding RNA is filed under the name Salmo salar (Atlantic salmon). RNAcentral describes it as "lncRNA (ENSSSAG00000098854.1)". Lineage: Eukaryota; Metazoa; Chordata; Actinopteri; Salmoniformes; Salmonidae. The record is from RNAcentral.